This 440-nucleotide ribosomal RNA is filed under the name uncultured bacterium. RNAcentral describes it as "partial 16S ribosomal RNA". It matches the Rfam family "Bacterial small subunit ribosomal RNA", at positions 338 to 795 of the family's 1533-position model. The record is from RNAcentral.
CCUACGGGUGGCAGCAGUGGGGAAUAUUGCUCAAUGGGGGCAACCCUGAUGCAGCGACGCCGCGUGAGUGAAGAAGUCAUUCGUUAUGUAAAGCUCUUUUAGCAGGGACGAAAAUGACGGUACCUGAGUAAGAAGCACCGGCUAACUACGUGCCAGCAGCCGCGGUAAUACGUAGGGGGCAAGCGUUAUCCGGAUUUACUGGGUGUUAAGGGAGCGUAGACGGCAGUGCAAGUCUGGAGUGAAAGGCGGGGGCUCAACCCCCGGACUGCACUGGAAACUGUACGGCUGGAGUGCAGGAGAGGUAAGUGGAAUGCCUGGUGUAGCGGUGAAAUGCGUAGAUAUUAGGAGGAACACCAGUGGCGAAGGCGGCUUGCUGGACUGUAACUGACGUUGAGGCUCGAAAGCGUGGGGAGCAAACAGGAUUAGAUACCCGAGUAGUC